This 603-nucleotide ribosomal RNA is filed under the name uncultured fungus. RNAcentral's name for it is "eukaryotic LSU rRNA". It matches the Rfam family "Eukaryotic large subunit ribosomal RNA", at positions 23 to 641 of the family's 3401-position model. The record is from RNAcentral. Lineage: Eukaryota; Fungi.
ACCCGCUGAACUUAAGCAUAUCAAUAAGCGGAGGAAAAGAAACCAACAGGGAUUGCCUUAGUAACGGCGAGUGAAGCGGCAACAGCUCAAAUUUGAAAUCUGGCCUCUUUGGGGUCCGAGUUGUAAUUUGCAGAGGGCGCUUUGGCGUUGGCAGCGGUCCAAGUUCCUUGGAACAGGACGUCACAGAGGGUGAGAAUCCCGUACGUGGUCGCUAGCCUUCGCCGUGUAAAGCCCCUUCGACGAGUCGAGUUGUUUGGGAAUGCAGCUCUAAAUGGGAGGUAAAUUUCUUCUAAAGCUAAAUACUGGCCAGAGACCGAUAGCGCACAAGUAGAGUGAUCGAAAGAUGAAAAGCACUUUGGAGAGAGAGUCAAACAGCACGUGAAAUUGUUGAAAGGGAAGCGCUUGCAGCCAGACUUGCCUGUAGUUGCUCAUCCGGGCUUUUGCCCGGUGCACUCUUCUGCGGGCAGGCCAGCAUCAGUUUGGGCGGUUGGAUAAAGGUCUCUGUCAUGUACCUCUCUUCGGGGAGGCCUUAUAGGGGAGACGACAUGCAACCAGCCCAGACUGAGGUCCGCGCAUUUGCUAGGAUGCUGGCGUAAUGGCUGU